GUGCGUCUGGUCCUUGAGAACUCAACAGCGUGCACAUUGUCAAUGCCAAUUUAUUGACCCCGUGGCGUUCCACUUGUGGGACGUCCGGAGACAAUUCCUUUUGGAUUGAAGAUUGUCAGUAGACAGUCAACAGUCAAGAUCAACUCGGCCUGACGCUUUCGGGUGUUGGGUCUGUAAUUUUUUACGGAGAGUUUGAUCCUGGCUCAGGACGAACGCUGGCGGCGUGCUUAACACAUGCAAGUCGAACGAUGAUGCCCAGCUUGCUGGGCGGAUUAGUGGCGAACGGGUGAGUAACACGUGAGUAACCUGCCCCUGACUCUGGGAUAAGCGUUGGAAACGACGUCUAAUACUGGAUAUGAUCACCGGCCGCAUGGUCUGGUGGUGGAAAGAUUUUUUGGUUGGGGAUGGACUCGCGGCCUAUCAGCUUGUUGGUGAGGUAAUGGCUCACCAAGGCGACGACGGGUAGCCGGCCUGAGAGGGUGACCGGCCACACUGGGACUGAGACACGGCCCAGACUCCUACGGGAGGCAGCAGUGGGGAAUAUUGCACAAUGGGCGAAAGCCUGAUGCAGCAACGCCGCGUGAGGGAUGACGGCCUUCGGGUUGUAAACCUCUUUUAGUAGGGAAGAAGCGAAAGUGACGGUACCUGCAGAAAAAGCACCGGCUAACUACGUGCCAGCAGCCGCGGUAAUACGUAGGGUGCAAGCGUUGUCCGGAAUUAUUGGGCGUAAAGAGCUCGUAGGCGGUUUGUCGCGUCUGCUGUGAAAUCCCGAGGCUCAACCUCGGGCUUGCAGUGGGUACGGGCAGACUAGAGUGCGGUAGGGGAGAUUGGAAUUCCUGGUGUAGCGGUGGAAUGCGCAGAUAUCAGGAGGAACACCGAUGGCGAAGGCAGAUCUCUGGGCCGUAACUGACGCUGAGGAGCGAAAGCAUGGGGAGCGAACAGGAUUAGAUACCCUGGUAGUCCAUGCCGUAAACGUUGGGCGCUAGAUGUAGGGACCUUUCCACGGUUUCUGUGUCGUAGCUAACGCAUUAAGCGCCCCGCCUGGGGAGUACGGCCGCAAGGCUAAAACUCAAAGGAAUUGACGGGGGCCCGCACAAGCGGCGGAGCAUGCGGAUUAAUUCGAUGCAACGCGAAGAACCUUACCAAGGCUUGACAUACACCGGAAACGGCCAGAGAUGGUCGCCCCCUUGUGGUCGGUGUACAGGUGGUGCAUGGUUGUCGUCAGCUCGUGUCGUGAGAUGUUGGGUUAAGUCCCGCAACGAGCGCAACCCUCGUUCUAUGUUGCCAGCGGGUUAUGCCGGGGACUCAUAGGAGACUGCCGGGGUCAACUCGGAGGAAGGUGGGGAUGACGUCAAAUCAUCAUGCCCCUUAUGUCUUGGGCUUCACGCAUGCUACAAUGGCCGGUACAAAGGGCUGCGAUACCGUAAGGUGGAGCGAAUCCCAAAAAGCCGGUCUCAGUUCGGAUUGAGGUCUGCAACUCGACCUCAUGAAGUCGGAGUCGCUAGUAAUCGCAGAUCAGCAACGCUGCGGUGAAUACGUUCCCGGGCCUUGUACACACCGCCCGUCAAGUCAUGAAAGUCGGUAACACCCGAAGCCGGUGGCCUAACCCUUGUGGAAGGAGCCGUCGAAGGUGGGAUCGGUGAUUAGGACUAAGUCGUAACAAGGUAGCCGUACCGGAAGGUGCGGCUGGAUCACCUCCUUUCUAAGGAGCAUCUGGCAU
RNAcentral lists this ribosomal RNA (1720 nucleotides) under Curtobacterium sp. ZW137. RNAcentral's name for it is "bacterial SSU rRNA". The stretch from base 181 to 1702 matches the Rfam family "Bacterial small subunit ribosomal RNA". The record is from RNAcentral. Lineage: Bacteria; Bacillati; Actinomycetota; Actinomycetes; Micrococcales; Microbacteriaceae.